RNAcentral lists this ribosomal RNA (301 nucleotides) under uncultured bacterium. RNAcentral's name for it is "partial 16S ribosomal RNA". It matches the Rfam family "Bacterial small subunit ribosomal RNA", at positions 509 to 809 of the family's 1533-position model. The record is from RNAcentral.
CAGUCGCCGCGGGAAUACGGAGGGAGCUAGCGUUAUUCGGAAUUACUGGGCGUAAAGCGCACGUAGGCGGCUUUGUAAGUUAGAGGUGAAAGCCUGGUGCUCAACACCAGAACUGCCUUUGAUACUGCAUCGCUUGAAUCCAGGAGAGGUGAGUGGAAUUCCGAGUGUAGAGGUGAAAUUCGUAGAUAUUCGGAAGAACACCAGUGGCGAAGGCGGCUCACUGGACUGGUAUUGACGCUGAGGUGCGAAAGCGUGGGGAGCAAACAGGAUUAGAUACCCGUGUAGUCCCUGUCCUUAUACA